This is a non-coding RNA of Phrynosoma platyrhinos (Desert horned lizard), 72 nucleotides long. The record is from the annotation of a GenBank genome assembly. NCBI's taxonomy places the organism in Eukaryota, Metazoa, Chordata, Lepidosauria, Squamata, Phrynosomatidae.
GCCAGGGUGGCAUAGUGGUUUGGGUAUUGGACUAUGACUCUGGAGACCAGGGUUUGAACCCCCACUUGCCCA